UCAUGAUCUCAGAUCAGGUAAGACUACCCGCUGAACUUAAGCAUAUCAGUAAGCGGAGGAAAAGAAACUAACAAGGAUAAGCCGAAUUGGAGCU
This 94-nucleotide ribosomal RNA is filed under the name Nuclearia moebiusi. RNAcentral's name for it is "partial 28S large subunit ribosomal RNA". It matches the Rfam family "Eukaryotic large subunit ribosomal RNA", at positions 1 to 91 of the family's 3401-position model. The record is from RNAcentral. Lineage: Eukaryota; Rotosphaerida; Nucleariidae.